RNAcentral lists this unclassified non-coding RNA (292 nucleotides) under Hevea brasiliensis (rubber tree). The record is from RNAcentral. Lineage: Eukaryota; Viridiplantae; Streptophyta; Magnoliopsida; Malpighiales; Euphorbiaceae.
AACAAAUUAUAUUCUCAUAAAACAAUGUACUUGAUACUAAUUCUUGCAUGUCUAUAAACUUGCAACUUAGGCUUCUAGUCUGGUAAGCACAUGGUUAUAGGCUACAUAGUUCAUUUCUAUACAAGCACUAAGAAGAAAACUACAAUGAUUGUGACUUUGGGUAUUUGAACAUUACAUAUUGUUAUUUUUAAGGCAGCAUGUGAGGUAAAGCCAGAGUUACUAAUUGUAUGCAUUUAUAGCCUUGCACUUUUGUGCGCUCUGUGAACUGAUGUCUUGUAAAUUGGGAUAUGUG